This 378-nucleotide ribosomal RNA is filed under the name Chroodiscus khaolungensis. Its description in RNAcentral is "SSU rRNA". It matches the Rfam family "Bacterial small subunit ribosomal RNA", at positions 350 to 761 of the family's 1533-position model. Lineage: Eukaryota; Fungi; Ascomycota; Lecanoromycetes; Ostropales; Graphidaceae. The record is from RNAcentral.
AGCAACUUGGAGGAAUGUAUAGCGAAAGCUAAUUGCAUCAGGAAAUAACUGAUGCAAUAUCGACUCUGUCGAAUAAAAUUCUAGGUAGAAUUAUGAUGAUGACAUUGUCUGCCUAUGUCUUGACCAAAUUACGUGCCAGCAGUCGCGGUAAUACGUAGAAGACUAGUGUUAUUCAUCUUUAAUAGGUUUAAAGGGUACCUAGACGGUAAAUCAAGCUUUAAACAGGACUAAUUUACUAGAGUUACUUAUGAGGGGGAUUAAGUACUGAUGGUGUAGAGAUGAAAUUCUUUGAUACCUCUUCUACCGCUUAGGAGACAUGGCACAGGUAUAGGCGAAAGCAUCCCCUUAUGUGAUAACUGACGUUGAAGGACGAAGGAA